Molecule: ribosomal RNA, 588 nt
Filed under: uncultured bacterium
Lineage: Bacteria
Description: bacterial SSU rRNA
Rfam family: Bacterial small subunit ribosomal RNA
Source: RNAcentral
GAUGAACGCUGGCGGCGUGCUUAACACAUGCAAGUCGAACGGGUCUUAUAUUAGAUAAAGAGGUUUACUUCUUCUAUUUGAUAUAAGACUAGUGGCGGACGGGUGAGUAACGCGUGGAUAACCUACCUUAUACAGGGGGAUAACAACGAGAAAUCGUUGCUAAUACCCCAUACGUAUUGGCAUUGCAUGGUGCUAAUAUAAAAGCUUUAGCGGUAUAAGAUGGGUCCGCGUCUGAUUAGCUAGUUGGUGGGAUAAAAGCCUACCAAGGCAACGAUCAGUAGCCGGCUUGAGAGAGUGAACGGCCACAUUGGGACUGAGACACGGCCCAAACUCCUACGGGAGGUAGCAGUGGGGAAUAUUGCACAAUGGGGGAAACCCUGAUGCAGCGACGCCGCGUGAAGGACGAAGGUUUUCGGAUCGUAAACUUCUAUCAGCAGGGAGGAAGAAAUGACAGUACCUGAAUAAGCAGCCCCGGCUAACUACGUGCCAGCAGCCGCGGUAAUACGUAGGGGGCAAGCGUUAUCCGGAAUCACUGGGUGUAAAGGGUGCGUAGGCGGUAAUGCAAGUCAGAUGUGAAACCCCUUGGCU